AUACGGAGGGAGCGAGCGUUAAUCGGAAUUACUGGGCGUAAAGCGCGCGUAGGCGGCUUUGUUAGUCGGAUGUGAAAGCCCUGGGCUUAACCUGGGAAUGGCAUUCGAUACUGCAUAACUAGAGUAUGGUAGAGGGAAGUGGAAUUUCAGGUGUAGCGGUGAAAUGCGUAGAUAUCUGAAGGAACAUCAGUGGCGAAGGCGACUUCCUGGAUCAAUACUGACGCUGAGGUGCGAAAGCGUGGGGAGCAAACAGGAUUAGAAACCCCGGUAGUCC
Molecule: ribosomal RNA, 274 nt
Filed under: uncultured bacterium
Lineage: Bacteria
Description: partial 16S ribosomal RNA
Rfam family: Bacterial small subunit ribosomal RNA
Source: RNAcentral